RNAcentral lists this ribosomal RNA (405 nucleotides) under uncultured bacterium. RNAcentral describes it as "partial 16S ribosomal RNA". It matches the Rfam family "Bacterial small subunit ribosomal RNA", at positions 28 to 526 of the family's 1533-position model. The record is from RNAcentral.
GAUGAACGCUGGCGGCGUGCCUAAUACAUGCAAGUCGAGCGAAGCGGGGACGGGUGAGUAACACGUGGAUAACCUCCUAUAAGACUGGGAUAACUUCGGGAAACCGGAGCUAAACCGGAUGCUUAUAGAUGGAUCCGCGUUGUAUUAGUUAGUUGGUGAGGUAACGGCUUACCAAGGCAACGAUGCAUAGCCGACCUGAGAGGGUGAUCGGCCACACUGGAACUGGGAAACGGUCCCGACUCCCACGGGAGGCAGCAGGAGGGAAUUUUUCGCAAUGGGAGAAAGGCCGAACGAGCCACGACGCGGGAGUGAAGAAGGUCUUCGGGUUGUAAAACUCUGUUAUUAGGGAAGCGGUACCUAAUCAAAAAGCCACGGCUAACUACGUGCCAGCAGCCGCGGUAAUAC